GAUGAAGAACGUAGUGAAAUGCGAUAAGUAAUGUGAAUUGCAGAAUUCAGUGAAUCAUCGAAUCUUUGAACGCACAUUGCGCCCCCUGGUAUUCCGGGGGGCAUGCCUGUCCGAGCGUCAUUACAACCCUCAAGCUCAGCUUGGUGUUGGGCCCCGCCGCCGCGGCGGGCCCUAAAGUCAGUGGCGGUGCCGUCCGGCUCCGAGCGUAGUAAUUCUUCUCGCUCUGGAGGUCCGGUCGUGUGCUCGCCAGCAACCCCCAAUUUUUUUCAGGUUGACCUCGGAUCAGGUAGGGAUACCCGCUGAACUUAAGCAUAUCAAUAAGCGGAGGA
This 329-nucleotide unclassified non-coding RNA is filed under the name soil metagenome. Its description in RNAcentral is "partial contains 5.8S ribosomal RNA, internal transcribed spacer 2, and large subunit ribosomal RNA". The stretch from base 1 to 120 matches the Rfam family "5.8S ribosomal RNA", at positions 35 to 154 of the family's 154-position model. The record is from RNAcentral.